UACGAAGGGGGCUAGCGUUGCUCGGAAUCACUGGGCGUAAAGCGCACGUAGGCGGCUUCUUAAGUCAGGGGUGAAAUCCUGGAGCUCAACUCCAGAACUGCCUUUGAUACUGAGGAGCUUGAGUCCGGGAGAGGUGAGUGGAACUGCGAGUGUAGAGGUGAAAUUCGUAGAUAUUCGCAAGAACACCAGUGGCGAAGGCGGCUCUCUGGGCCUUUCCUGACGCUGAGACGCGAAAAGCGUGGGGAGCGAACCGG
This 254-nucleotide ribosomal RNA is filed under the name uncultured bacterium. RNAcentral's name for it is "partial 16S ribosomal RNA". It matches the Rfam family "Bacterial small subunit ribosomal RNA", at positions 524 to 776 of the family's 1533-position model. The record is from RNAcentral.